RNAcentral lists this ribosomal RNA (466 nucleotides) under uncultured bacterium. RNAcentral describes it as "partial 16S ribosomal RNA". It matches the Rfam family "Bacterial small subunit ribosomal RNA", at positions 28 to 507 of the family's 1533-position model. The record is from RNAcentral.
GAUGAACGCUGGCGGCGUGCUUAACACAUGCAAGUCGAACGAUGAAGCCUAGUUUGCUGGGUGGAUUAGUGGUGAACGGGUGAGUAACACGUGAGUAACACGCCCUUAAUCUUGGCCUAAGUUUGGGAAAAUGGUUGUAAUACCGGACUGGUGCGUGCAACGCCUGGAGGGUGUUGGCUGGGUUUAUCGGUUUUGGUUGCAGUCGUGGCCUUUAAGCUUGUUGGUGAAGUCAUGGUUCAGCAAGGCGACGACAGGUAGGCGGCCUGAGGGUGGGACCUGCGACACGGCGACGGAGACUCGGCGCGGACGCCUACGGGAGGCAUGAGUAAGGAGUGGUGCACUAAGGGCGCAAGCCUGAUGCAGCGACGCCGGGUGAGGGAUGACGGCCUUCUGGUUGUAAACCUCAUGCAGUAGGGAAGAAGCGAUAGUGACGGUACCUGCAGAAGAAGCACCGGCUAACUACGUG